This 253-nucleotide ribosomal RNA is filed under the name uncultured bacterium. RNAcentral's name for it is "partial 16S ribosomal RNA". It matches the Rfam family "Bacterial small subunit ribosomal RNA", at positions 524 to 776 of the family's 1533-position model. The record is from RNAcentral.
UACGGAGGGUGCAAACGUUGCUCGGAAUCAUUGGGCGUAAAGCGCACGUAGGCGGUCUGUUAAGUCGGAUGUGAAAGCCCCGGGCUCAACCCGGGAAGUGCAUACGAAACUGGUGGACUUGAAUAUGGAAGAGGGUCGCGGAAUUCCCGGUGUAGAGGUGAAAUUCGUAGAUAUCGGGAGGAACACCAGUGGCGAAGGCGGCGACCUGGGCCAAUAUUGACGCUAAUGUGCGAAAGCGUGGGGAGCAAACAGG